RNAcentral lists this ribosomal RNA (450 nucleotides) under uncultured bacterium. Its description in RNAcentral is "partial 16S ribosomal RNA". It matches the Rfam family "Bacterial small subunit ribosomal RNA", at positions 354 to 796 of the family's 1533-position model. The record is from RNAcentral.
GUGGGGAAUUUUGGACAAUGGGCGCAAGCCUGAUCCAGCCAUUCCGCGUGCAGGAUGAAGGCCUUCGGGUUGUAAACUGCUUUUGUACGGAACGAAAAGCCCCUGGUUAAUACCCGGGGGUCAUGACGGUACCGUAAGAAUAAGCACCGGCUAACUACGUGCCAGCAGCCGCGGUAAUACGUAGGGUGCGAGCGUUAAUCGGAAUUACUGGGCGUAAAGCGUGCACAGGCGGUGAUGUAAGACAGUUGUGAAAUCCCCGGGCUCAACCUGGGAACUGCAUCUGUGACUGCAUUGCGGGAGUGCGGCAGAGGGGGAUGGAAUUCCGCGUGUAGCAGUGAAAUGCGUAGAUAUGCGGAGGAACACCGAUGGCGAAGGCAAUCCCCUGGGCCUGCACUGACGCUCAUGCACGAAAGCGUGGGGAGCAAACAGGAUUAGAUACCCCAGUAGUCC